Non-coding RNA from Aedes aegypti (yellow fever mosquito), 45 nucleotides. NCBI's taxonomy places the organism in Eukaryota, Metazoa, Arthropoda, Insecta, Diptera, Culicidae. The record is from Rfam.
CCAUCGGCCCUUUUCAGGGCCAUCAAGGCUUUGUUAGCUUUGAUG